UUGGAGGGCAAGUCUGGUGCCAGCAGCCGCGGUAAUUCCAGCUCCAAUAGCGUAUAUUAAAGUUGUUGCAGUUAAAAAGCUCGUAGUUGAAUUUCGGGGUCAGCAGGUUGGUCGUGCCAAUGGUAUGAACUGGCCUUGCUGAUUCCUCCCUCUUGAUGAGCCGUAAUGCCAUUAAUUUGGUGUUGCGGGGAAUCAGGACUGUUACUUUGAAAAAAUUAGAGUGUUUAAAGCAGGCAAGCGCUUGAAUACAUUAGCAUGGAAUAAUGAAAUAGGACGUUUGAUCCUAAUUUGUUGGUUUCUAGGAUUGACGUAAUGAUUAAUAGGGAUAGUUGGGGGCAUUAGUAUUCAAUUGUCAGAGGUGAAAUUCUUGGAUUUAUUGAAGACUAACUACUGCGAAAGCAUUUGCCAAGGAUGUCUUCAUUAAUCAAGAACGAAAGUUAGGGGAUCGAAGACGAUCAGAUACCGUCGUAGUCUUAACCAUAAACUAUGCCGACUAGGGAUCGGAUGAUGUUAAUUUUUUAAUGACUCAUUCGGCGCCUUACGGGAAAC
This 549-nucleotide ribosomal RNA is filed under the name uncultured Glomus. RNAcentral describes it as "SSU rRNA". It matches the Rfam family "Eukaryotic small subunit ribosomal RNA", at positions 548 to 1098 of the family's 1831-position model. Lineage: Eukaryota; Fungi; Glomeromycota; Glomeromycetes; Glomerales; Glomeraceae. The record is from RNAcentral.